This 251-nucleotide long non-coding RNA is filed under the name Linum usitatissimum (flax). RNAcentral describes it as "long non-coding RNA (LUSI_LNC000561)". The record is from RNAcentral. Lineage: Eukaryota; Viridiplantae; Streptophyta; Magnoliopsida; Malpighiales; Linaceae.
GGAGAAUCCCUUCGCCGGCGUCCGGGAAGAGGCGGAGGAGCCGCCGGAGGAAGUUCACUGCAGCGAAUGGGGGGACCACCACGAUCGUUACAGCACCACGAGCUCCUCCAGCCAAGAAGAAGAAGAAGAAGACGAAGAUGAUCAGGCCAGAUCCGAGAUCGGGACGCGGUCGUCCGUCAAGUAUCAAUCUGAGAAGCAGCAAUCUCCUCCUCCACCGCCGCCGCAGAUAUAUCGGAAGGCUAGUAAGUCCG